AGUGUACGCUGGCGGUAGGCCUAACACAUGCAAGUCGAACGGCAGCACAGUAAGAGCUUGCUCUUACGGGUGGCGAGUGGCGGACGGGUGAGGAAUACAUCGGAAUCUACUUUUUCGUGGGGGAUAACGUAGGGAAACUUACGCUAAUACCGCAUACGACCUACGGGUGAAAGCAGGGGAUCUUCGGACCUUGCGCGAUUGAAUGAGCCGAUGUCGGAUUAGCUAGUUGGCGGGGUAAAGGCCCACCAAGGCGACGAUCCGUAGCUGGUCUGAGAGGAUGAUCAGCCACACUGGAACUGAGACACGGUCCAGACUCCUACGGGAGGCAGCAGUGGGGAAUAUUGGACAAUGGGCGCAAGCCUGAUCCAGCCAUACCGCGUGGGUGAAGAAGGCCUUCUGGUUGUAAAGCCCUUUUGUUGGGAAAGAAAAGCAGCAGGUUAAUACCCCGCUGUUCUGACGGUACCCAAAGAAUAAGCACCGGCUAACUUCGUG
Molecule: ribosomal RNA, 492 nt
Filed under: uncultured bacterium
Lineage: Bacteria
Description: partial 16S ribosomal RNA
Rfam family: Bacterial small subunit ribosomal RNA
Source: RNAcentral